Belonocnema kinseyi is the source of this 261-nucleotide long non-coding RNA. RefSeq lists it as uncharacterized. NCBI's taxonomy places the organism in Eukaryota, Metazoa, Arthropoda, Insecta, Hymenoptera, Cynipidae. The record is from RefSeq and is a predicted model, not a curated record. The transcript is spliced from 2 exons.
UAAAAAAACGUACUUUUUGUGAAAAGACCUUGUGGGGAAUUGAAUAAUAUUAUCUUACAACUAAAACAGCACAACUUUGAUGCAGAAAAGGCAAAACUAGAAAUUUUUCAUCAAACCUGGUAGAAAAUACGAAUUUUGGACGGGUGAGAGUGGUUGAACCCUGUGGGAUCCAAUAUCUUCUUUUUCAAAAAAUGUGAAAAAGACGCCGUUUUUUCAACAAAUGGAAGUUUCUUUGGGGGCGGGGGACCUCACAGAUCAAAG